RNAcentral lists this long non-coding RNA (1040 nucleotides) under Sus scrofa (pig). Its description in RNAcentral is "lncRNA (ENSSSCG00030043025.1)". Lineage: Eukaryota; Metazoa; Chordata; Mammalia; Artiodactyla; Suidae. The record is from RNAcentral.
GGCCUGUGCUGGUCACCCAUAGAGGUGGUACCCAGUGGCCUCAACUCCAUCUAGGUCUACUAGUGAUUACAAGUUGGCUGCUUGUCAAGCUCCCUCUGAGGGCUCUGCUGCCAGCAACAGCCAUGAAUCCUCUUGGCCCCUCCUGGGUGCCCCUGCUGAGUUUAACAGGAAGGUGACAGUUCUGGCAAUACCUGCGAUGGUGCCAGGGCCAACCUAGGGACUCACGGCCCUUCUCAGAAGAUAUUUCUUGGGUGGCUUGGACACAACAAAUAUUCAGCCAAGAAAGAGGCCUGAUUGAUGGUUGGUGGAAGUGCAGAUAUUGGACCUUCAGAUGAGUGUCAGGAGAUCUGGAUUCUGACUCUUCUUCUGCCUUCCUCUGUGGUGUAACCCUGGGAAAGUCACUCAAUGUCUCUGAGCCUCGUGUUCCCCAUAAGUAACACGAAAGUGUUUUACUACUGGAGAGUUUCCAAAUUCUCAGCUCAAUACUUCUGUGAUGCAGUCAGAGAAUGAAGUCUUUUUUUUUUUUUUUUUUUUUUUUUUUUCGUAGUGUCUGGGUGAUUGGAGGGGGGUAGCCUUCUCUUUGAGAAGGUAAAAUGGCAGCCAGGGAGCCAAGCCAGCAGAGAGCAGGAGGGCUCAGAUUACCCCCAUAUGGAAAAGGACUGACUUCAAUAGAACAAGCCUUCGAGGCCGUGGGAAGGGGUCUCUGUCAUAGGCCUUCACUUUCUCCAACAGAUGAGAAAAUUGAGUCCCAGAGAUGCCAAGUAGCAUGCCCAAAGCCACAUGGCUAGUAAGUAGCAGAUCCAGAAUAAUUCCUGUGUGAGAGCUUUUAACCCAACCCAGAGCAACCACUCAUAACUUGCCAUUGUAAGUAUAGCCUCUGGGUUCUCCUUCCUUCUAGGAUCAUGUUCAUCUUAAUACAUACAAGAAAACCAUUCUCUCUCUCUCUCUCCCCCAAGGUGUUAGAAAUCUUUUGCCCUUUGCUUCCCUGUCUGCUAGGCUCCCUCCUGGGACAGAUGGUUUGUCUGAUGGGUGAGCUGGUG